This 45-nucleotide non-coding RNA is filed under the name Trichobilharzia regenti. Lineage: Eukaryota; Metazoa; Platyhelminthes; Trematoda; Strigeidida; Schistosomatidae. The record is from RNAcentral.
AUCCAGCUGACGAGUCCCAAAUAGGACGAAAUGCGCAUUUUACAG